UACGUAGGUGGCAAGCGUUGUCCGGAGUUACUGGGUGUAAAGGGAGCGCAGGCGGGAAGCCAAGUCAGCUGUGAAAACUACGGGCUUAACUUGUAGACUGCAGUUGAAACUGGUUUUCUUGAGUGAAGUAGAGGUUGGCGGAAUUCCGAGUGUAGCGGUGAAAUGCGUAGAUAUUCGGAGGAACACCGGUGGCGAAGGCGGCCAACUGGGCUUUAACUGACGCUGAGGCUCGAAAGUGUGGGGAGCAAACAGG
This 253-nucleotide ribosomal RNA is filed under the name uncultured bacterium. RNAcentral's name for it is "partial 16S ribosomal RNA". It matches the Rfam family "Bacterial small subunit ribosomal RNA", at positions 524 to 776 of the family's 1533-position model. The record is from RNAcentral.